UACGUAGGGGGGCAAGCGUUGUCCGGAUUUAUUGGGCGUAAAGAGCGUGUAGGCGGCCAGACAGGUCCGUUGUGAAAACUCGAGGCUCAACCUCGAGACGCCGAUGGAAACCGUCUGGCUAGAGUCCGGAAGAGGAGAGUGGAAUUCCUGGUGUAGCGGUGAAAUGCGCAGAUAUCAGGAAGAACACCCGUGGCUAAGGCGGCUCUCUAGUACGGUACUGACGCUGAGGAGCGAAAAGCGUGGGGAGCAAACAGG
Molecule: ribosomal RNA, 255 nt
Filed under: uncultured bacterium
Lineage: Bacteria
Description: partial 16S ribosomal RNA
Rfam family: Bacterial small subunit ribosomal RNA
Source: RNAcentral